This 464-nucleotide ribosomal RNA is filed under the name uncultured bacterium. Its description in RNAcentral is "partial 16S ribosomal RNA". It matches the Rfam family "Bacterial small subunit ribosomal RNA", at positions 339 to 795 of the family's 1533-position model. The record is from RNAcentral.
CUACGGGGUGCUGCAGUGAGGAAUUUUGCGCAAUGGGGGAAACCCUGACGCAGCAACGCCGCGUGAGCGAAGAAGGCCUUCGGGUCGUAAAGCUCUGUCAAGUGGGAAAAAAAUCUUUUGAUCAAUAGUCAAAAGACUUGAUGGUACCACUGGAGGAAGCACCGGCUAACUCCGUGCCAGCAGCCGCGGUAAUACGGAGGGUGCAAGCGUUGUUCGGAAUUACUGGGCGUAAAGAGCGUGUAGGCGGUUUGGCAAGUCAGAUGUGAAAGCCCUGGGCUCAACCUGGGAAGUGCAUUUGAAACUGCUUGACUUGAGUACGGGAGAGGUAUGCGGAAUUCCUGGUGUAGCGGUGGAAUGCGUGGAUAUCAGGAAGAACACCGGUGGCGAAGGCGGCAUACUGGCCCGAUACUGACGCUGAGGUGCGAAAGCGUGGGGAGCAAACGGGAUUAGAUACCCGCGUAGUC